RNAcentral lists this ribosomal RNA (460 nucleotides) under uncultured bacterium. RNAcentral describes it as "partial 16S ribosomal RNA". It matches the Rfam family "Bacterial small subunit ribosomal RNA", at positions 338 to 795 of the family's 1533-position model. The record is from RNAcentral.
CCUACGGGAGGCAGCAGUGAGGAAUAUUGGUCAAUGGCCGUAAGGCUGAACCAGCCAAGUCGCGUGAAGGAAGAAGGAUCUAUGGUUUGUAAACUUCUUUUAUAGGGGAAUAAAGGUAUCCACGUGUGGAUAUUUGCAUGUACCCUAUGAAUAAGCAUCGGCUAACUCCGUGCCAGCAGCCGCGGUAAUACGGAGGAUGCGAGCGUUAUCCGGAUUUAUUGGGUUUAAAGGGUGCGUAGGUUGUUUUUUAAGUCAGCGGUGAAAUUUUGUGGCUCAACCAUAGAAUUGCCGUUGAAACUGGCAGACUUGAGGGUGUUUGAGGUAGGCGGAAUGCGUGGUGUAGCGGUGAAAUGCAUAGAUAUCACGAAGAACUCCGAUUGCGAAGGCAGCUUACGAAGCCAUAACUGACACUGAAGCACGAAAGCGUGGGGAUCAAACAGGAUUAGAUACCCGAGUAGUC